GACGAACGCUGGCGGCGUGCUUAACACAUGCAAGUCGAACGGAAAGGCCCUGCUUUUGUGGGAUGCUCGAGUGGCGAACGGGUGAGUAACACGUGAGUAACCUGCCCUUUACUGUGGGAUAACUUCAGGAAACUGGGGCUAAUACCGGAUCGGAGCUCCUGCUGCACGGUGGGGGUUGGAAAGGUUCGGCGGUUGGGGAUGGACUCGCGGCUUAUCAGCUUGUUGGUGGGGGAGUGGCUUACCAAGGCUUUGACGGGUAGCCGGCCUGAGAGGGUGACCGGCCACAUUGGGACUGAGGUACGGCCCAGACUCGUACGGGAGGCAGCAGUGGGGAAUAUUGCACAAUGGGGGGAAGCCUGAUGAAGCAACGCCGCGUGCGGGAUGACGGCCUUCGGGUUGUAAACCGCUUUCGCCUGUGACGAAGCGUGAGUGACGGUAAUGGGUAAAGAAGCACCGGCUAACUACGUG
Molecule: ribosomal RNA, 468 nt
Filed under: uncultured bacterium
Lineage: Bacteria
Description: partial 16S ribosomal RNA
Rfam family: Bacterial small subunit ribosomal RNA
Source: RNAcentral